This 81-nucleotide transfer RNA is filed under the name Hypomontagnella monticulosa. Its description in RNAcentral is "tRNA-Ala". It matches the Rfam family "tRNA". From Rfam's summary of the family: Transfer RNA (tRNA) molecules are approximately 80 nucleotides in length. Their secondary structure includes four short double-helical elements and three loops (D, anti-codon, and T loops). Further hydrogen bonds mediate the characteristic L-shaped molecular structure. tRNAs have two regions of fundamental functional importance: the anti-codon, which is responsible for specific mRNA codon recognition, and the 3' end, to which the tRNAs corresponding amino acid is attached (by aminoacyl-tRNA synthetases). tRNAs cope with the degeneracy of the genetic code in two manners: having more than one tRNA (with a specific anti-codon) for a particular amino acid; and 'wobble' base-pairing, i.e. permitting non-standard base-pairing at the 3rd anti-codon position. The record is from RNAcentral. Lineage: Eukaryota; Fungi; Ascomycota; Sordariomycetes; Xylariales; Hypoxylaceae.
GGGCCUGUAGUCCAGUGGUAGAACGUUCGCUUAGCAUAUGUCAACUGCGAGAGGUCCAGGGUUCGAUUCCCUGCUGGUCCA